AAAUAAAUAAGCAAAUGUCUCUCCUGGGUGUGUAACUAUAGGCUUAUUGCACACUGGGCAGUGAAUCUGCUUUUCGGAUAACAGUUUUCUAGCAACCCAGAUGGGACCAGCUGUGUCUGGAUCGUCUUGCCAGUUCCUGGCGGGGAGACGCUGCCCUUUGCACUCCAGCGCGCACUGACCUUUUUGUUCAGGGACUCCGCGAGCAACCUCCCCAGUCGGAGCGGUGUCGGACUUAAAAGAUGCUUUCUUCUGUAUCCCUGUGGAGGAACAAAGUCAACAAUUAUUCGCCUUUGAGUGGGAAAGUCCUACAACGGGACGCAAAAUGCAGUUGCGCUGGACAGUACUCCCACAAGGAUUCAAGAACAGCCCUACAAUUUUUGGUUAUGUACUCGCAAAAGAAUUAUAGUUAUGGCAAAGUACAUCCAGUUAAGAUCUCCUGUACUUUUAGAUUCACCUGUACAUUCAUUCCAGCUGGGAGAUCAAGUAUAUCUUCGAACCUGGAAGGAUGAGCUGUUGAUAGAAAAAUGGAGAGAACCAUAUCUUGAACUACUAACAACAAAUACUGCUGUGAAACUGCAGGGAAUUGAUUCCUGGAUCCACUACACCUGAGUGAAAGCAGUGCCUCAGGAGACAUGGAAAGCUGAACAAGUUCAACCUUUAAAAUUAAAAAUAUAUAAAGAUAUAUGAAUUGUAUUAAAAGUGAAUCAGUUUUAAAUUUAGAUUGUAUUCAGGGAAAAUUUGUUUUAAUUUGCUUCUUAGGAAUAGGGUUAAUAUUAUUAUGAUAACUGUGUGAAAAUGAUGUUCUCCUUAACAAACAACAGGGGAGAAAUGUGGUGGUUAGUUUUUUUAGGUUACCUGAGCCAAGCAAUUAAAGGGAAUCAGGAAGGAUUUGGGGGUCAAAAUCUUAAUUUGGAAGUAAUUACAAAAUCUAUAAAGAUAGUUAACCAGACAAAUUGUUGGGUGUGUACCCACUUUCCUGAAUCUUCCACCAAGGGCAUCCCGCUAAUUGGAGUGCCUCUUAAUUUUUCUUUUAUGGAAUUUAUAAAACAGAUAAGAAAUGAUAGCGAUCAAACGAAAUAUGAUGAAACAACAGAACAGGAAUGGGAAGUCCAGAGUGUGACAGGAGAUUAUUAUCAAUGUAUCCGAAGAUGUAAUAAUAGUAAUAAAUGGUGGGAAAAAACUGUGCCUUAUGGAAAACAACCGAUCAACUGUACUGGAGCAAUCAAGGUAGGUAGUUAUGAGAGUUGCUCUCAGAUACCUGAAAUAGGUUAUAAGUGGCCAAGUAAGGAACUAAAUGGGUGGCGUGUUCCGAAAGGUAGUGGAUGGUAUUGGUUGUGUGGGAACAAGGCACGAAAAGCGCUACCUCCUAAUUGGUCAGGGACAUGUACUUUAGGGGCAAUAAUCCCUAAUAUUACUGUAACCAAACAACUGAGUAACAAAUACCAAAGAUCAUGGUUAAGAACAUUCAUGAGGAGACAAAAAAGGAUCAAUAAUCCUUUAAUAGAUCGACCUACUAGAUUUCAUUCUUUCGCAAGGUGGCCGUUUCCACAGCGGGGAGUGAGUGAACUUGAAAAAGCAAUUGUGAGUAUUUCAGCAGUUAUUGAGAAAAUAGAGAAUAAAACCUCUGAUGUCAUUACAGCUUUACAAGAGGAGGUUUCAGAAAUUGCUAAAAUAACCACCCAGAACAGAAUAGCUCUAGAUAUGUUAUUAGCAUCUCAGAGAGUAUAUACAGUAAUAAAUACUAGUUGCUGUCAAUCAAAAUGUCAAUCAAAGCAGGAAAAUUUCUACCGAUCUAAAUGAAAUCUGGAAGCAAACUGAAAACUUACAUGAGAUUCAGAAAAAUGAUACCUCUUUCGGAUUUGAAGAAACAUGGAAAUGGUUGACUUCCUGGUUCCCUGACAUAAGCUCAUGGGUUAAGAAGUGUUUAGUGAUUUUGGGAAUGGUGUUACUAAUUUUUGUAUGUGUUUAUGUAGUGAUUCAAUGUAUUUCUAGAUGUACAAAGUUAAUAGGGGGCAAACUUUUAAAGGGGUGAGACUAAUAUGAACAUGGUCAUAUAAGUCUCAAAGGUGGAAAGUUGUUAAAGGACGACCUUGGAAACUCAGAAAGAACGUCCAUGUUUAAAUGAGGCAGACUGGGAUAACCUCUAUCUGUUUUCUGGGAGGAAAUAUCCUUUAGUCAAGGACAUCCUAGAACUGCUAAAGCCUGAGGAAAAACUAAAUCAAAAUGUUUUACUUUCUAUGGAUAUAUUGCCAGCUUGGCAAAAGAAUUUGAGGUCCACAUAUGCCUAACUGAACUGUCCUUAUAAUACAAAAAAAAAUCACACCUGUAGGUCAAAAAGACCCACGCCUGGGUGAAGACCCCUCCCCGAGCAUGCAUAAUACUAGAAUGUUGUGUAAGCAAUAUUAUAAUUAUAUGUAAAUUACUAAACAAUCAGUGUAGAAGGGGAAGUUGGAAACCUUGCAGCUUUUUGUAUAAAUGCUACUUGGACAGCCAGUGGGAUGCGCUUGAUUUGUGGGAAACCACCGAGCACCCAGGCUUGCGCAAAUCUCAAAUAAAUAAGCAAAUGUCUC
Long non-coding RNA from Dromaius novaehollandiae (emu), 2570 nucleotides. RefSeq lists it as uncharacterized. The record is from RefSeq and is a predicted model, not a curated record. NCBI's taxonomy places the organism in Eukaryota, Metazoa, Chordata, Aves, Casuariiformes, Dromaiidae. The transcript has 3 exons.